Molecule: ribosomal RNA, 23 nt
Filed under: Cladosporium sphaerospermum
Lineage: Eukaryota; Fungi; Ascomycota; Dothideomycetes; Cladosporiales; Cladosporiaceae
Description: partial 28S ribosomal RNA
Source: RNAcentral
UGACCUCGGAUCAGGUAGGACCC